UAAGCCUGUGAAGGUGUGUCGUGAGGCAUGCUGGAGGUAUCAGAAGUGCGAAUGCUGACAUAAGUAACGAUAAAGCGGGUGAAAAGCCCGCUCGCCGGAAGACCAAGGGUUCCUGUCCAACGUUAAUCGGGGCAGGGUGAGUCGACCCCUAAGGCGAGGCCGAAAGGCGUAGUCGAUGGGAAACGGGUUAAUAUUCCCGUACUUGGUGUUACUGCGAAGGGGGGACGGAGAAGGCUAUGUUGGCCGGGCGACGGUUGUCCCGGUUUAAGCGUGUAGGUGUGUGUUCCAGGUAAAUCCGGUUCACUUUAACACUGAGGCGUGACGACGAGGCACUACGGUGCUGAAGCAACAAAUGCCCUGCUUCCAGGAAAAGCCUCUAAGCAUCAGGUAACAUCAAAUCGUACCCCAAACCGACACAGGUGGUCAGGUAGAGAAUACCAAGGCGCUUGAGAGAACUCGGGUGAAGGAACUAGGCAAAAUGGUGCCGUAACUUCGGGAGAAGGCACGCUGACACGUAGGUGAAGUGAUUUACUCAUGGAGCUGAAGUCAGUCGAAGAUACCAGCUGGCUGCAACUGUUUAUUAAAAACACAGCACUGUGCAAACACGAAAGUGGACGUAUACGGUGUGACGCCUGCCCGGUGCCGGAAGGUUAAUUGAUGGGGUCAGCGCAAGCGAAGCUCCUGAUCGAAGCCCCGGUAAACGGCGGCCGUAACUAUAACGGUCCUAAGGUAGCGAAAUUCCUUGUCGGGUAAGUUCCGACCUGCACGAAUGGCGUAAUGAUGGCCAGGCUGUCUCCACCCGAGACUCAGUGAAAUUGAACUCGCUGUGAAGAUGCAGUGUACCCGCGGCAAGACGGAAAGACCCCGUGAACCUUUACUAUAGCUUGACACUGAACAUUGAGCCUUGAUGUGUAGGAUAGGUGGGAGGCUUUGAAGCGUGGACGCCAGUCUGCGUGGAGCCGACCUUGAAAUACCACCCUUUAAUGUUUGAUGUUCUAACGUGGACCCGUGAUCCGGGUUGCGGACAGUGUCUGGUGGGUAGUUUGACUGGGGCGGUCUCCUCCUAAAGAGUAACGGAGGAGCACGAAGGUUGGCUAAUCCUGGUCGGACAUCAGGAGGUUAGUGCAAUGGCAUAAGCCAGCUUGACUGCGAGCGUGACGGCGCGAGCAGGUGCGAAAGCAGGUCAUAGUGAUCCGGUGGUUCUGAAUGGAAGGGCCAUCGCUCAACGGAUAAAAGGUACUCCGGGGAUAACAGGCUGAUACCGCCCAAGAGUUCAUAUCGACGGCGGUGUUUGGCACCUCGAUGUCGGCUCAUCACAUCCUGGGGCUGAAGUAGGUCCCAAGGGUAUGGCUGUUCGCCAUUUAAAGUGGUACGCGAGCUGGGUUUAGAACGUCGUGAGACAGUUCGGUCCCUAUCUGCCGU
RNAcentral lists this ribosomal RNA (1422 nucleotides) under Salmonella enterica. RNAcentral describes it as "partial 23S ribosomal RNA". It matches the Rfam family "Bacterial large subunit ribosomal RNA", at positions 1243 to 2648 of the family's 2925-position model. The record is from RNAcentral. Lineage: Bacteria; Pseudomonadati; Pseudomonadota; Gammaproteobacteria; Enterobacterales; Enterobacteriaceae.